UGUUGCCCAAAAGCCAAAUGGAGCUUCUUUUAAACCUCGCCAUGGUUAUAGAGGACAUGAAAGAGGAAGAGGAAAUGCAAGAGGAGCUGGGAGUUCACGCCCAGUCAAAAAAUUUGCUGAAGAUUUUGAUUUUGAAGCAAUGAAUGAGAAAUUUAAGAAAGAUGAAGUAUGGGGUCAUCUAGGUAACCGUAGCAAAUCUCAUUCUAAGGAUAAUGAAGGGGAUGCUAGUGAUGAAGAUGGUUAUCAAGAUGAAGAUGGUGCUGAAAUAUCCAAGAUUCAAGUCUAGGUUAUG
This is a long non-coding RNA of Hibiscus syriacus, 292 nucleotides long. RefSeq lists it as uncharacterized. NCBI's taxonomy places the organism in Eukaryota, Viridiplantae, Streptophyta, Magnoliopsida, Malvales, Malvaceae. The record is from RefSeq and is a predicted model, not a curated record. The transcript has 3 exons.